Molecule: long non-coding RNA, 1019 nt
Filed under: Dromaius novaehollandiae (emu)
Lineage: Eukaryota; Metazoa; Chordata; Aves; Casuariiformes; Dromaiidae
Description: lncRNA (ENSDNVG00000015777.1)
Source: RNAcentral
CAUACAUGAAUGGAAUUAUCUUUCUUUCCCUUGUGACUGCACAUUUACGACAUCAGGAGAGAUGGUCUGGACAGUGGAAUCAUCUGGCAUAGAGAAAAGCAGCUGAAAAAUUAUUCCUUCAAAUGCCUUCAGCGCAUGCUUUAUCCUGUUUGCUCUGCUGAUACCACUGUUAAAUGAAUUUGGUCUAAGCAUCAUUUUUGCAAGUGCAAUAAGAAAAAUGAACAGAACUUCUACUCACUCACAGUCUUGUCUAGACACAUCAUCCAAGUUUCUUAUUCUUUGCAAUAUCUUAUGAAAUCAUGAAGGUAACACACAUGUCUUCUUAAGCCAAAUCAUUUUGCAUAGUUCUCCUUUUCAUUUUAUGCAAAGAUUUGGUCAGUACCAAUAAAUAACCUGCAAAUAUUUAUUUAGAUUACAAAUGCACAAUAUUCUUUAGUCUGCUUUAUUAAUAUUUCCUGUGUUAGGAAAGCCUAAGCUUCUUUGAUUCCACUGCUUUAGCAAACUAAGUAAAUUCACAUAAAAUCACUGGGUAACAUAGAUAUCACUGGAUAAAAUUCACAUAGAAAAGUGGCAAGAGGAGAAAUGGAAUUUAUUUGUGAAAUCUGUCCAUGAGAAUCAAGCUGAAUCUUCUCUGUACAUUGCUAGUAAAUCAAUAUGCAAAAUUAAAAAAUGAAUGAACAAUUUGGCUAAAUAUCAUGCACUCAGUACUAACACCUAAUCCCUACUAACCAAAGAGAGGUGAUCCUGGACAAGGACAAUAUUCCAAACUCUUUUCACUUCCUCUUCCAUUACAUGGUCUGUUAAAAUAUUAACUAAGAAUAAAAACACUAGGUUUUAUCAUUUAAUAACGCUAACAUUUAUCAUUAUAGAAGUGCUCCUAUUUUACUAUAUCAAAAACAACCUUUUCUCUUUCUUUCUCUCUCUCUCUCAUAGAACAAAGGCUCUUAGGCAUUGCUGGCCUCAGUGUUUCAGAAGAACAUCUGUAGUUGACCAUCAUUCACUCCUGAUCAAACGGGACC